CGAGUCCGAGUCUCCACGGAGACGAAGUGGCGGUCAUCCAGCUUCCUAGAAAAGCUCUAACCACGUUAAUCUUUAGUUGCCUGUACCCGAAACCGACACAGGUAGGGGGGUAGAGAAUACCAAGGGGCGCGAGAUAACUCUCUCUAAGGAACUCGGCAAAAUGACCCCGUAACUUCGGGAGAAGGGGUACCACUGAGAAGUGGUCGCAGUGAAGAGGCCCAGGCGACUGUUUACCAAAAACACAGGUCUCCGCCAAGUCGCAAGACGAAGUAUGGGGGCUGACGCCUGCCCAGUGCCGGAAGGUUAAGGAAGUGGGUUAGGGAUUCGUCCCGAAGCUGACGACUGAAGCCCCGGUGAACGGCGGCCGUAACUAUAACGGUCCUAAGGUAGCGAAAUUCCUUGUCGGGUAAGUUCCGACCCGCACGAAAGGCGUAACGAUCUGGGCGCUGUCUCGGAGAGAGGCUCGGCGAAAUAGGGUUGUCUGUGAAGAUACGGACUACCUGCACCUGGACAGAAAGACCCUAUGAAGCUUUACUGUAGCUUGGAAUUGGGUUCGGGCUUGGUUUGCGCAGGAUAGGUGGGAGGCGAAGAAGAUUUGCUUGUGGGUGAAUCUGAGCCAACGGUGAGAUACCACUCUAACCAGGCUAGAAUUCUAACUUCAACCCGUCAACCGGGGGAAGGACAGUUUCAGGUGGGCAGUUUGACUGGGGCGGUCGCCUCCUAAAAGAUAACGGAGGCGCACAAAGGUUCCCUCAGGCUGGUUGGAAAUCAGCCAACGAGUGCAAAGGCAGAAGGGAGCUUGACUGCGAGACCUACAAGUCAAGCAGGGUGGAAACACGGUCUUAGUGAUCCGACGGCACCGAGUGGAAGGGCCGUCGCUCAACGGAUAAAAGUUACUCUAGGAUAACAGGCUGAUCUCCCCCAAGAGUUCACAUCGACGGGGAGGUUUGGCACCUCGAUGUCGGCUCAUCGCAACCUGGGGCGGAAGUACGUCCCAAGGGUUGGGCUGUUCGCCCAUUAAAGCGGUACGUGAGCUGGGUUCAGAACGUCGUGAGACAGUUCGGUCCAUAUCCGGUGUAGGCGCAAGAACAUUGAGAGGAGUCUUCCUUAGUACGAGAGGACCGGGAAGAACGCACCGCUGGUGUACCUGUUAUCGUGCCAACGGUAAACGCAGGGUAGCCAAGUGCGGAGUGGAUAACCGCUGUAAGCAUCUAAGUGGGAAGCCCACCUCAAGAUGAGUGUUCUCAUGGAGUAAUCCAGUAAGGUCACGGGAAGACGACCCGUUGAUAGGCGGUAGGUGGAAGUUCAGCAAUGGAUGAAGCCGAGCCGUACUAACAGACCGAGGGCUUGAUC
Molecule: ribosomal RNA, 1353 nt
Filed under: metagenome
Description: bacterial LSU rRNA
Rfam family: Bacterial large subunit ribosomal RNA
Source: RNAcentral